GAUGAACGCUGACAGAAUGCUUAACACAUGCAAGUCAACUUGAAGCAGUUUCGGCUGUGGAUGGUGGCGGACGGGUGAGUAACGCGUAAAUAACUUGCCCUUUAGACUGGGACAACUGUUGGAAACGACGGCUAAUACCGGAUAUUAUGAAACCUUGGCAUCAAGGGAUUAUGAAAGCUAUAUGCGCUAGAGGAGAGAUUUGCGUCCUAUUAGCUAGUUGGUGAGGUAAUGGCUCACCAAGGCGACGAUAGGUAGCCGGCCUGAGAGGGUGAACGGCCACAAGGGGACUGAGACACGGCCCUUACUCCUACGGGAGGCAGCAGUGGGGAAUAUUGGACAAUGGACCAAGAGUCUGAUCCAGCAAUUCUGUGUGUUUGAUGAAGGCCUUCGGGUUGUAAAGAACUUUAAGUAGGGAAGAAGAAAGUGACGGUACCUACAGAAUAAGCGACGGCUAAAUACGUGCCAGCAGCCGCAGUAA
Molecule: ribosomal RNA, 478 nt
Filed under: uncultured bacterium
Lineage: Bacteria
Description: partial 16S ribosomal RNA
Rfam family: Bacterial small subunit ribosomal RNA
Source: RNAcentral